This 253-nucleotide ribosomal RNA is filed under the name uncultured bacterium. Its description in RNAcentral is "partial 16S ribosomal RNA". It matches the Rfam family "Bacterial small subunit ribosomal RNA", at positions 524 to 776 of the family's 1533-position model. The record is from RNAcentral. RNAcentral also lists the same sequence under 1 other name.
UACGUAGGGUCCGAGCGUUGUCCGGAGUUACUGGGCGUAAAGCGCGCGCAGGCGGCGGUGUUGGCCCGGCGUGAAAGCCCCCGGCUCAACCGGGGAGGGUCGUCGGGGACCGCACCGCUUGAGGGCGGUAGGGGCUGGUGGAAUGCCUGGUGUAGUGGUGAAAUGCGUAGAGAUCAGGCGGAACACCUGUGGCGAAGGCGGCCAGCUGGGCCGUCCCUGACGCUGAGGCGCGAAGGCGUGGGGAGCGAACGGG